UGUGCGGGCCGGGCCCCUCUGGCGGUUGGACAUGUCCAGCCGUGAUGUCGGACCGCAUCG
This is a regulatory RNA element of 60 nucleotides. It matches the Rfam family "terC RNA". The record is from Rfam.